This 533-nucleotide unclassified non-coding RNA is filed under the name Hevea brasiliensis (rubber tree). The record is from RNAcentral. Lineage: Eukaryota; Viridiplantae; Streptophyta; Magnoliopsida; Malpighiales; Euphorbiaceae.
AUGUUCCUUGGUGAGUUGGAGGAAAUCUUGGAAGCUACUCAACCACCAGAUUUCCAAAGGUGUAUGGUGCCGUUGUUUCGUCGUAUUGCUCAAUGUUUGACUAGCUUGCAUUUUCAGGUGGCGGAGAGGGCUUUAUUCUUGUGGAAUAACGAUCAUAUUGAGAAUUUGAUAAAGCAACAUCGAAAAGUGAUACUGCCUAUCAUCUUUCCUGCACUAGAAAGAAAUGCCAGAAACCAUUGGAAUCAGGCUGUUCACAGUUUGUCACUGAAUAUUCGGAAGAUAUUCUAUGAUCUUGAUCCUGAGCUAUUCAAGGAGUGCUUGCACAACUUUCAAGAAGAUGAAUUGAAGGAAGAUGAGAUUAAGUCAAAACGUGAAGCUACAUGGAAACGAUUAGAAGAACUUGCGGCCAAAAAUACUACAAGCAAUGAAGCUGUGCUUGUGCCAUCCACCGGGCAUUCUCGAACUUAAUGUUAAGAUAUGCUUGUUCUUCCUUGUUUUUAAUUUUCAUAAUUCUGGUUAAAUUUACAUUUUGG